RNAcentral lists this ribosomal RNA (754 nucleotides) under uncultured Achromobacter sp. RNAcentral describes it as "bacterial SSU rRNA". It matches the Rfam family "Bacterial small subunit ribosomal RNA", at positions 28 to 776 of the family's 1533-position model. The record is from RNAcentral. Lineage: Bacteria; Pseudomonadati; Pseudomonadota; Betaproteobacteria; Burkholderiales; Alcaligenaceae.
AUUGAACGCUAGCGGGAUGCCUUACACAUGCAAGUCGAACGGCAGCACGGACUUCGGUCUGGUGGCGAGUGGCGAACGGGUGAGUAAUGUAUCGGAACGUGCCUAGUAGCGGGGGAUAACUACGCGAAAGCGUAGCUAAUACCGCAUACGCCCUACGGGGGAAAGCAGGGGAUCGCAAGACCUUGCACUAUUAGAGCGGCCGAUAUCGGAUUAGCUAGUUGGUGGGGUAACGGCUCACCAAGGCGACGAUCCGUAGCUGGUUUGAGAGGACGACCAGCCACACUGGGACUGAGACACGGCCCAGACUCCUACGGGAGGCAGCAGUGGGGAAUUUUGGACAAUGGGGGAAACCCUGAUCCAGCCAUCCCGCGUGUGCGAUGAAGGCCUUCGGGUUGUAAAGCACUUUUGGCAGGAAAGAAACGUCAUGGGUUAAUACCCCGUGAAACUGACGGUACCUGCAGAAUAAGCACCGGCUAACUACGUGCCAGCAGCCGCGGUAAUACGUAGGGUGCAAGCGUUAAUCGGAAUUACUGGGCGUAAAGCGUGCGCAGGCGGUUCGGAAAGAAAGAUGUGAAAUCCCAGAGCUUAACUUUGGAACUGCAUUUUUAACUACCGAGCUAGAGUGUGUCAGAGGGAGGUGGAAUUCCGCGUGUAGCAGUGAAAUGCGUAGAUAUGCGGGAGGAACACCGAUGGCGAAGGCAGCCUCCUGGGAUAACACUAACGCUCAUGCACGAAAGCGUGGGGAGCAAACAGG